CGUAGCCCUGGGCGCAGGGAGAAGAAGCCCAGGACGCUUCGGGUGGUGCACGGUUUCCCGAGCCCCGGGCCGCUGGGCACCUGUUUGGUACUUUGACCCUGAGAAAGCUAUCUCCAGGGGGUGAACAUUUGUUUACAAGAGUCAUCAUUUAAUAAGGAGAAGAAGGAGGCGAGACAGGCCGCGUCAAGGUGCGCCAUGCUCACAACCGAGAUCAGCGUUACGUGUAGUAAGGCCACUGGAGAAUGAUGUGGACAGAAGUAAGGACCAGUACCCUGGUCCUGGAGGAGCCUCACAUCAGUAAUCAUGCCAAGUCCUCUGCCAACGAGCCUCCCAUCUCUCCUCAGUGUCCUUGUUCCCUGUGAGAGGAAGAGCAGUGGAGUCUAGAGUUUGGGGAAACUAAGCACAGGCACUGGAGCUGAGAAAGAUGUUUCAAAGCCUUCCAGAAGUGCUGUCUGUGUGUAC
Meriones unguiculatus (Mongolian gerbil) is the source of this 462-nucleotide long non-coding RNA. RefSeq lists it as uncharacterized. The transcript has 3 exons. The record is from RefSeq and is a predicted model, not a curated record. NCBI's taxonomy places the organism in Eukaryota, Metazoa, Chordata, Mammalia, Rodentia, Muridae.